This 465-nucleotide ribosomal RNA is filed under the name Vreelandella stevensii. Its description in RNAcentral is "partial 16S ribosomal RNA". It matches the Rfam family "Bacterial small subunit ribosomal RNA", at positions 338 to 795 of the family's 1533-position model. The record is from RNAcentral. Lineage: Bacteria; Pseudomonadati; Pseudomonadota; Gammaproteobacteria; Oceanospirillales; Halomonadaceae.
CCUACGGGGGGCAGCAGUGGGGAAUAUUGGACAAUGGGCGAAAGCCUGAUCCAGCCAUGCCGCGUGUGUGAAGAAGGCCUUCGGGUUGUAAAGCACUUUCAGUGGGGAAGAAAGCCUUGGGGCUAAUACCCUCGAGGAAGGACAUCACCCACAGAAGAAGCACCGGCUAACUCCGUGCCAGCAGCCGCGGUAAUACGGAGGGUGCGAGCGUUAAUCGGAAUUACUGGGCGUAAAGCGCGCGUAGGCGGUCUGAUAAGCCGGUUGUGAAAGCCCCGGGCUCAACCUGGGAACGGCAUCCGGAACUGUCAGGCUAGAGUGUUGGAGAGGAAGGUAGAAUUCCCGGUGUAGCGGUGAAAUGCGUAGAGAUCGGGAGGAAUACCAGUGGCGAAGGCGGCCUUCUGGACUAACACUGACGCUGAGGUGCGAAAGCGUGGGUAGCAAACAGGAUUAGAUACCCGAGUAGUC